AAGUAGUUAAGGGCCUCUUCUCCACUGAUAAAAGAAAAAGGAAAAGAAAAGGAUCAAAUUGCUUCCAAAUAGAAAGGCAUAGCUUUCUUAUUGAUGUCAAGGACCAGUAAGCGUUACACAAUGAAAAAAAUAAUCAUCAGCUUCACUAAACAUUCAUCAAUCUAAGUAAAUUGAAAUUCAUCAAGUUUGAUUAAGAGAGAAUAUUAAGAAACAAUUACAAAUAAGAAUGGCAAGCUCCAAGCAUCAUAUUCUCCAUAUUUUUGGGGAUAAAAAACAAUUUAGGGAAAAC
Molecule: unclassified non-coding RNA, 289 nt
Filed under: Hevea brasiliensis (rubber tree)
Lineage: Eukaryota; Viridiplantae; Streptophyta; Magnoliopsida; Malpighiales; Euphorbiaceae
Source: RNAcentral